This 513-nucleotide ribosomal RNA is filed under the name uncultured bacterium. Its description in RNAcentral is "partial 16S ribosomal RNA". It matches the Rfam family "Bacterial small subunit ribosomal RNA", at positions 28 to 507 of the family's 1533-position model. The record is from RNAcentral.
GAUGAACGCUGGCGGCGUGCUUAACACAUGCAAGUCGAACGAGAGCGUAGAGAAAGCUUGCUUUUUCUACAAUCUAGUGGCAAACGGGUGAGUAACGCGUAAACAACCUGCCUUACGGAGGGGGACAACAGCUGGAAACGUCAGCUAAUACCGAAUACGUUCCGAAAGUCGCAUGACUAUCGGAAGUAAGGAUGGCGUCUAUUUAUAAGCUAUCGCCGGAGGUGGGGUGUGCGUCUGAUUAGCUAGUUGGGGGGGUAACGGCCCAGCAAGGCGACGAUCAGUAGGCGGACUGAGAGGAUGAUCGGCAACAGUGGAGAGGGGACGCGGUGCCGCACUGUAAGGGAGGCAGCGGUGGGACUACUUCCGCAAUGGGCGAGGGGGUAACGGAGGAAAGGCGCGUGAGUGUGAAGGACCUUCGGGUUGUGGAGGUCUGUUAUACGGGACGAGUAAUCUUGUGGUUAAGACGCAGGAGAAGUGACGGUACCGUAAGAGAAAGCCACGGCUAACUACGUG